GCCCAGAUGGCGAAAUUGGUAGACGCGCUAGUUUCAGGUACUAGUGUUGAAAGACGUGGAGGUUCGAGUCCUCUUCUGGGCACCA
Molecule: transfer RNA, 85 nt
Filed under: Methylophilus aquaticus
Lineage: Bacteria; Pseudomonadati; Pseudomonadota; Betaproteobacteria; Nitrosomonadales; Methylophilaceae
Description: tRNA-Leu
Rfam family: tRNA
About the family: Transfer RNA (tRNA) molecules are approximately 80 nucleotides in length. Their secondary structure includes four short double-helical elements and three loops (D, anti-codon, and T loops).
Source: RNAcentral